This 261-nucleotide long non-coding RNA is filed under the name Bos taurus (domestic cattle). RNAcentral describes it as "long non-coding RNA NONBTAT001691". The record is from RNAcentral. Lineage: Eukaryota; Metazoa; Chordata; Mammalia; Artiodactyla; Bovidae.
CCUCACCAGGCUGUGUCAAGCUGCGCCAGUGUCACAGGGAAGGGACAAGGUAUCAACAUCCAUGCUCUGACCUGUGUCUCCAUAGCAGGAAAGAUUAUCCAAAUUUUUCAUAUUCAGAGUCAGUAAGACAUUUCAGAGAAAGGCAAUGAACUCCUACAUUGUUUAUUGACCUUACUUAAGCGUUUCAUACCAGUGUGUCUGGCAGCUUUGGGAACUAUUGUGUAAGUGGGGUUACCCAGAAGUGAUUGCCAACAUUCUGAG